UCUCCGUUGGUGAACCAGCGGAGGGAUCAUUACCGAGUUUACAAACUCCCAAACCCUUUGUGAACCUUACCAUAUCGUUGCUUCGGCGGGACCGCCCCGGCGCCUUCGGGCAACGGAACCAGGCGCCCGCCGGAGGCCCCAAACUCUUAUGUCUUUAGUGGUUUUCUCCUCUGAGUGACACAUAAACAAAUAAAUAAAAACUUUCAACAACGGAUCUCUUGGUUCUGGCAUCGAUGAAGAACGCAGC
Molecule: unclassified non-coding RNA, 247 nt
Filed under: uncultured fungus
Lineage: Eukaryota; Fungi
Description: sequence contains ITS1, 5.8S rRNA gene
Rfam family: 5.8S ribosomal RNA (bases 199-247)
Source: RNAcentral